AUCAUUGCGUUGAUAAAGAGGAGUAGACAUGCUGAGUAGUUUUAGAGAACUGAUGGUUGGUGGGAAUCAGUCUACUUUCAUGUUGAAUGGACUUUGGAGCUUUCAAGCUGAACAUUAAAGUAGGCUUAGACGAAACGCCUUAUCGUUACAAAAGGCAGCGUAUCGAAAUGAUGUUUUAUUUCCGUACGUCGAUAAGUGCGUUUUUUGAAAAAAAAAACGAAUCAAGGUGGCACCACGGGUUUCUCGUCCUUAUU
RNAcentral lists this non-coding RNA (254 nucleotides) under Alkalihalobacillus pseudalcaliphilus. RNAcentral describes it as "Bacillus pseudalcaliphilus T-box sequence". It matches the Rfam family "T-box leader". Rfam says of the family: Uncharged tRNA acts as the effector for transcription antitermination of genes in the T-box leader family. T-boxes are found upstream of many aminoacyl-tRNA synthetase genes and some amino acid biosynthetic genes usually in Gram-positive bacteria. The anticodon of a specific tRNA base pairs to a specifier sequence within the T-box motif, and the NCCA acceptor tail of the tRNA base pairs to a conserved bulge in the T-box antiterminator hairpin. The record is from RNAcentral. Lineage: Bacteria; Bacillati; Bacillota; Bacilli; Caryophanales; Bacillaceae.